Photinus pyralis (common eastern firefly) is the source of this 1212-nucleotide long non-coding RNA. RefSeq lists it as uncharacterized. The transcript has 4 exons. The record is from RefSeq and is a predicted model, not a curated record. NCBI's taxonomy places the organism in Eukaryota, Metazoa, Arthropoda, Insecta, Coleoptera, Lampyridae.
UAUGAUCUUUGGUAAAAGGUUAAUCUCUUUAUCGUCUUGUUAAUUAAAUAUAAGUAAUAAGCAUUGAGUAACUAUAGCAUUGCUAAUCCAAUAGUCAAUCAUAUAAGAAAUUUAGAAACAAGAACCCAUCGUCCGUGCCCCGUGGUAGGUAUGAUUUUCAAUUUGCAAUGAAGUAAAAUGGUGAAUAAAUAAAUGAGUUUUUUUUGUGCCAAAUUGUACAGUUUUGCAAGUAUACAGUAUACACAUCUUCGUUUCAUUGUAAAUAAAAUUAUAAGUGUAGGAAAUAAAAUUGUAAGUGUAGGCUUUCAGAUUGGAAUUUCCGUUGGCCUUGGCAGAAAGUGCAUCGCAUCACAGAUGAUAAGACGAACGUUCUCAGCUUCAUUUUACAAUUUUCCUUCAUUCGGGUCUUUGGCGGGGAGUUGUGUUGUGGCGUACUUACGUAACGUAAUGUCAUUGACAUUGGAUGAUAAGUGUUAAUUAAUACCUAAAGGACUGUAAGUAUUUUUUUGGAACAAUGCCGAGAAGAUCAGUUAGAAUUUUGUCGAUGCUCAAAAAUCCCGUCCAUCCGUAAGACAGCAUCCAGGAUGAAUAUGAUCUUCAAGACAUCGAACGUUGUCAAGAUGCCCUAAAUCCUGAAGAAAACCGAAUCGCACCAAUACAGACUACAGGGGAAAUUAUGGAGGAGAUAGAUUUGAUAAAACCAAAUACAAAAGGUAAACUCCAGCAUAAAUCUCUAGUAGCGCGCCAUAUGGUCUUCAGAAGAAAAAUCAGCUGUCUUAGGUUUUUUCAACCAAGAAAUUAAAAAAAGAUCUAGUACCCGGAGAAGCUCAAUGUGAAAAGUGCUUAGAAGAACAUGAUGUUUUGCCCACAAGAUCAUGGACCGACGUAAAAUUCUGCAUUAAAAACCAUCUAGACAAGAGAAAAGAUGAGUGCCUUUACUCAUACAAAGUUAAAAACUGCCUUUGUUGUACUAUAGUGUGACAUUUUACACGUUUAAUCUAUUUCUUAUUACUAAAAAAUGUACAGGUACUAGGUAGCUUUACUGAAAGCAUUGAAUUUAUAGAUAGUUAUCAAUUCAAUGCUGAAAGUACCAUUGCUGUACUAAUUAAGAUUAUUGUAGUUUUCUGAAACAUUUUUAAUUUUUCUGUUGUUCAUUGGGAUUUAUAAAAUUCCUUCUGUAUUUGUGUAUAGCCAACUGAAUAAAGAUUUCUA